This 210-nucleotide ribosomal RNA is filed under the name uncultured Acholeplasma sp. RNAcentral describes it as "partial 16S ribosomal RNA". It matches the Rfam family "Bacterial small subunit ribosomal RNA", at positions 1172 to 1378 of the family's 1533-position model. Lineage: Bacteria; Bacillati; Mycoplasmatota; Mollicutes; Acholeplasmatales; Acholeplasmataceae. The record is from RNAcentral.
UGGGGGAAUGACGUCAAAUCAUCAUGCCCCUUAUGACCUGGGCUACAAACGUGAUACAAUGGCUGAAACAAAGGGCAGCGAAGCAGUGAUGUGGAGCGAAACCCAAAAAAGCAGUCUCAGUUCGGAUUGAAGUCUGCAACUCGACUUCAUGAAGUUGGAAUCGCUAGUAAUCGUAGAUCAGAACGCUACGGUGAAUACCGUUCUCGGGUU